AGAGUUUGAUCCUGGCUCAGGACAAACGCUGGCGGCGUGCGUAACACAUGCUAGUCGUGCGGGCUGGUUCUUCGGAACCAGUCAGCGGCGGACGGGUGAGUAACACGUGAAUCACCAACCCUCCAGUGGGGGAUACCCGGCGGAAACGCUGGUUAAGCCCGCAUACGUUCCCUUCGGGGAAGAAAGCGGCAACGCGCUGGUGGACGGGUUCGCGGUCGAUUAGCUAGUUGGCAGGGUAAGAGCCUACCAAGGCGACGAUCGAUAGCUGGUCUGAGAGGAUGAUCAGCCACACUGGGAUUGAGAACGGCCCAGACUCCUACGGGGGGCAGCAGUGAGGAAUCUUCGUCAAUGGGCACAGGCCUGAACGAGCAACGCCGCGUGGAGGAUGACGCCUUUCGGGGUGUAAACUCCUUUUCUGGGGGACGAGACAGGACGGUACCCCAGGAAGAAGUCUCGGCUAACUACGUGCCAGCAGCCGCGGUAAUACGUAGGAGACGAGCGUUGUCCGGAGUUACUGGGCGUAAAGGGCGCGCAGGCGGCCUGCCAUGUGUGCGGUGAAAGCUCCCGGCUUAACUGGGAGAGGCCCGUGCAAACGGGUGGGCUUGAGCGUCGGAGAGGGGCAUGGAAUUCCGGGUGGAGCGGUGAAAUGCGUAGAGAUCCGGAAGAACACCAAUGGCGAAGGCAGUGCCCUGGCCGACGGCUGACGCUCAGGCGCGAAAGCGUGGGGAGCAAACAGGAUUAGAUACCCUGGUAGUCCACGCCGUAAACGAUGUCCACUAGGUGUGCAAGGUAUCGACCCCUUGUGUGCCACAGCUAACGCAAUAAGUGGACCGCCUGGGGAGUACGGUCGCAAGAUUAAAACUCAAAGGAAUUGACGGGGACCCGCACAAGCAGCGGAGUGUGUGGUUUAAUUCGAUGCAACGCGAAGAACCUUACCAGGGCUUGACAUGCACUCGCACCGUCUGGAGACAGGCGUGCCCGCAAGGGACGGGUGCACAGGUGCUGCAUGGCUGUCGUCAGCUCGUGCCGUGAGGUGUUGGGUUAAGUCCCCCAACGAGCGCAACCCCUAUCGUUGGUUGUAUUUCUCCAGCGAAACUGCCCGCAAGGGAGGAAGGAGGGGCUGAAGUCAAGUCAGCACGGCCCUUACGUCCUGGGCUACACACACACUACAAUGGCUGGUACAAUGGGUCGCCAAGCGGCAACGCGGAGCCAAUCCCAGCAAAGCCAGCCUCAGUUCAGAUUGGCGGCUGCAACCCGCCGCCAUGAAGGUGGAGUUGCUAGUAACCGCAGGUCAGCAUACUGCGGUGAAUACGUUCCCGGGUCUUGUACACACCGCCCGUCACACCAUGGAAGCCGGUAACACCUGAAGCCGUUGGGCCAACCGAGGUAACUCGGAGGCAGGCGUCGAGGGUGGGAUUGGUGACUGGGGUGAAGUCGUAACAAGGUAACC
Molecule: ribosomal RNA, 1450 nt
Filed under: uncultured bacterium
Lineage: Bacteria
Description: bacterial SSU rRNA
Rfam family: Bacterial small subunit ribosomal RNA
Source: RNAcentral